UGGUGUUGCGUGUUUCGCGCUUCGCGUGUCACCUGUCAUGGCGGAGAGGUCCGCGUCGUUGGUGAAAAUGUUCUUCACUCCCAGCUCCUGCAAAGUGCUCUUCAGGUCGAUCUUCUGCUCCACCUUGAACCUGCACAGGUAGACCUCCACCUUCUGCCGCUUCACGUUGUUGGCCCACUCCUCCAGCAGCGGCGCUUUGAUGAUGGGCUCCAGCGAAGCCAGCGGGACCUCCUGCCGCGGCAGGAUGAUCAUCAUGGACAUGUCCUCCCCCUCGUACGGCAUUUCCAGCACCUGGUAGACGCCACCGGCUUCCUGGGAGCCGUCGCUGAACUCACCUGGCGGGGAAACAUUUGCUUUUGAACGUGCUAAACGCUGCAUGCGGAGGACUUUAUUCAAAAAAUAUGACCAUGCUGCAAUAUGUGAACGCCAACACGGUCGUCUCCCCGAGGACCUGUCCCUGUUCUGCGGCUUUCAGGUUCUCCCAUCUACCGUCUCCACGCACGCGCUCCUGCUCGGCUACGCCUUUGAUCCUCAGCGUGACUGUUAAUUUGCUCCGCCACCGCUGCGGAUUCUGUGAAGUCUACUGUUUCCACGUCCGCGUGGAAGUACUUCCUCAUCAGAUGCAGGAACUCGGGGUUGAAAGCGACGCCAUCUUGCAGGAAGAGGCGGUUGGCGAAUCGGAUCACGUAUUGGGUGUCAUCGUCAGACAGAGCUGACGUCAGGUUCUGGAGCAAAGAGAACUCCACACCUGGUAAACACCGGGACGCAGCAGGUGGCUGAAUCCCACCGCCUGUCGUAUCUCCUCCAGCGAAGCUCCCUUGGCUCCCAGCUCCACCAUGCCCAGAGCCACAGCAACGCUCAGUGGGGAGAAAAUGAUGUUGUCCUGCCCCCCCACCGCCUUCAGCGUGUGGUACAGUCUGACUGAGAACUCAGACGUAGUGUCCUCGGGAAUGUCCGCCGCCCGGCAACCGUAGCCCGGCAACAGGAUGGAGAUGAGGAGAAGGAGCAGGGACAGAACGUCCAGGAUCAACAUCGCAGCACAGACCGCAGAUAGCUAAGUGAAACAAGGGCAGAAAAGAAAACCAAGUGAAAUGUGAUGAAAUGGGAGAGGAGAAAUAGAGAAUAGGAGGUGGAUGUGUUAUGAAAUAUAUGUUUGGAAGAACAAGAUAUAAGUAAGAUGAUGGAGCAAACAGGUGGGGAAGGAAGGAACAAAUGAUGAUGAUGGAAAAGAGGGAACAGAGUCACAGGAGUUGCAUAAGUACGGAAGAGAGAGAGAGUAAGAAUUUAUUGUGCAAGCGAGAAAAACGGAUGAAGGACAAGAGGAUUGAAAGUAGAGAGGGGAAGGAAAUAAGAGGAUGAAAAGAGAGAGACAGAGAGAAGCAUCUGUCAGUCAAUUAAUAAAAAAAACUAAUACGUGCUGUAAAAUGAGGAGUUGGAAAAUUCAAUGAGUUGCAAUUAAAAGGUCACAGGUC
Betta splendens (Siamese fighting fish) is the source of this 1472-nucleotide long non-coding RNA. RefSeq lists it as uncharacterized. The record is from RefSeq and is a predicted model, not a curated record. The transcript has 5 exons. Lineage: Eukaryota; Metazoa; Chordata; Actinopteri; Anabantiformes; Osphronemidae.